Triticum aestivum (bread wheat) is the source of this 1312-nucleotide long non-coding RNA. RefSeq lists it as uncharacterized. The record is from RefSeq and is a predicted model, not a curated record. Lineage: Eukaryota; Viridiplantae; Streptophyta; Magnoliopsida; Poales; Poaceae. The transcript has 4 exons.
CGAAUCGUCGGUCCCUUCACCCCGCGUUCUCUCCCAUGUUGGUUUUCCGCGUGAAAAAAAAUUGUAAGUGAGUCAACGCGAUCUCGCUCCCGAACGAACCCACACCAAUCGGCUCCCCUGGCUCUAACCAUCCCAAUCUGGUCGACACCACAAUCUCACCACCAAAUCCGGCGUCGCCCACUUCCUCUUCCAAUCUUGUGAGUUGCAGUCCGCCACCACCGAUGCCGCCCGGUUCCCGUCCGAAACCUGCCACUUGCGACGGACCGAGGCCGCCGAAGCCGGCGACCAAAGGAUUCGAAGCAGCCGCCCAGAGCUACUUCGCCCUCGACGUUGAGGAUGGCGUGGGCCUGAGCUCCUGGCCUUCCCGGGUCCGCCGCCGCUGGGCUCGUUACUAUUGCUGACGUGUGCUGAAUAUAACUUGGAUUCCAUGGAUGAUGAUGAGAUUCUGGCGGUAGUGUUUAACCUUUCAAGAAUCACCUGAACCUGAGCGAUGAUGAUAUUCUUCCAAGUUGAUGCGCCUUCUCAUGGACACCAACCCUGCAAUUUUGUAUUGGGGAAAUACACUGUUUGCUUGAUUGACAGGCCCAAGAGGCUUCUGGCGGAAAUGACUUCAGGCCUCCUCGCUGGGUCUUUCAGGCCCAAGAGGCGGCACUACACAUCGUGGCCCAGUUACUGCCACGCGGCGCCAUACCCUAGCAAGCUCUCUAUAUAACAGGGUGCAGCCCCCCUAUUCGGCGCAGCAGAACUCUCCUCCUCCCAUCCGCCGCCGCAUCUGAUGUCGCCGCCGCCGCCGCAUCUGAUGUCGCCGCCGCAGCAAUACUGCCGCCGUCUAUCUUUUUGAUGAUUGUUUUUGCGGAUCAUGCCUUCAGUUUGAUGGUUUUCUUCUUCUUUUCCUGCUGUCUCUCUCUGAUAUUGCUUUUGGUUUGAUCUGAUGAUGAUUCCCCACCUGGAAAGAAGCUUCUCCGCGUGAUCCAGAUUCAUUCGGUUGGUCACGGGGGGAACGCUGCAGCCUUGGAGCUCUUUCCUGAGAGCAAGUGCGCAGGAUAUAAUGCUGGCCGGCCGAUCUAGAUGGCUCUCCAGUUUGGCUUUUCUGUGCCAUUUUCUUCCGUGUUAUGCAUCCCAUGCUUUAUGAUCUCAGAUCUCAUAGUAUAUGACUAGCUUAGCCCGCGCGGCGACACGCCGCGCCAAUCGGUAAGUCGCGACUAUGUAUGUUAUGGUCUAAACAGUAGAACAAUGAAUAGUUAUAAAUUAAGAAGUAUGUACGAUAAUUUUAUGUGUAUCUUUCUCUAUCAAUUAAAGAGAAGGACAACAA